GCUGGCGUAGCUCAAUUGGUAGAGCAACGGUCUUGUAAACCGUAGGUUGCGGGUUCGAGUCCCAUCGCCAGCUCCA
This 76-nucleotide transfer RNA is filed under the name Desulfobacterales bacterium. RNAcentral's name for it is "tRNA-Thr". It matches the Rfam family "tRNA". From Rfam's summary of the family: Transfer RNA (tRNA) molecules are approximately 80 nucleotides in length. Their secondary structure includes four short double-helical elements and three loops (D, anti-codon, and T loops). Lineage: Bacteria; Pseudomonadati; Thermodesulfobacteriota; Desulfobacteria; Desulfobacterales. RNAcentral also lists the same sequence under 3 other names. The record is from RNAcentral.